UACGGAGGUGGCAAGCGUUGUCCGGAAUUAUUGGGCGUAAAGCGCGCGUAGGCGGUUUCUUAAGUCUGAUGUGAAAGCCCACGGCUCAACCGUGGAGGGUCAUUGGAAACUGGGGAACUUGAGUGCAGAAGAGGAAAGUGGAAUUCCAAGUGUAGCGGUGAAAUGCGUAGAGAUUUGGAGGAACACCAGUGGCGAAGGCGGCUCUCUGGGACGGUACUGACGCUGAGACGCGAAAGCGUGGGGAGCAAACAGG
Molecule: ribosomal RNA, 253 nt
Filed under: uncultured bacterium
Lineage: Bacteria
Description: partial 16S ribosomal RNA
Rfam family: Bacterial small subunit ribosomal RNA
Source: RNAcentral